This 500-nucleotide ribosomal RNA is filed under the name uncultured bacterium. Its description in RNAcentral is "partial 16S ribosomal RNA". It matches the Rfam family "Bacterial small subunit ribosomal RNA", at positions 30 to 523 of the family's 1533-position model. The record is from RNAcentral.
AUUGAACGCUGGCGGCAUGCCUUACACAUGCAAGUCGAACGGCAGCACGGGAGCAAUCCUGGUGGCGAGUGGCGAACGGGUGAGUAAAGUAUCGGAACGUGCCCAGUCGUGGGGGAUAACGUAGCGAAAGUUACGCUAAUACCGCCUACGAUCUAUGGAUGAAAGCGGGGGAUCGCAAGACCUCGCGCGAUUGGAGCGGCCGAUAUCCGAUUAGGUAGUUGGUGGGGUAAAGGCCCACCAAGCCGACGAUCUGUAGCUGGUCUGAGAGGACGACCAGCCACACUGGGACUGAGACACGGCCCAGACUCCUACGGGAGGCAGCAGUGGGGAAUUUUGGACAAUGGGCGAAAGCCUGAUCCAGCCAUGCCGCGUGCAGGAUGAAGGCCUUCGGGUUGUAAACUGCUUUUGUACGGAACGAAAAGGACUGCCCUAAUACGGUGGUCCCAUGACGGUACCGUAAGAAUAAGCACCGGCUAACUACGUGCCAGCCGCCGCCGUAA